UUUCCGUAGGUGAACCUGCGGAAGGAUCAUUAUAAAUGAAAAACGAAUAACUUCAGGGCAGAAGGGAACCUGCACGGUGACCUCCCCUGUCGGGCCACCCAAUACCUUCAAAAUGCCGCCGUCCUAGCGGUGGCAGACGAAAAAAAAACAAGAAAAACAAAAUAGAAACAGGCACGGUGGCCCGUUCACCUUCACACAACCCUCCGAGCACCGCUUCCAUGUUGCUUCCCCGCAAAUCCACCUCUUUGGUGGGCGCGGGGGAGGUCCGCAUCAAAUUCACCUGAAUGUCACAGCAGUCAGACAGCCAUUCAUGGAAACAAUAAAACUUUCAACAACGGAUCUCUUGGUUCCC
This 352-nucleotide unclassified non-coding RNA is filed under the name plant metagenome. RNAcentral describes it as "partial contains small subunit ribosomal RNA, internal transcribed spacer 1, and 5.8S ribosomal RNA". The record is from RNAcentral.